GGAAAGAGAUCUCCACACUCUCCGACCAACUGGGAGAGAUUCACGAGGAGAACAAGAAGUUGCUGGAGUCGCAGGAUGAAUAUAAGAAGGUAAUAAUGCGACUGGAGAAAGCAGACUAGACAAAAUCUGAGGUGGUCAACCGUGCAACUGCGGAAGCUCACCGCGCAACUGAGGAAGCUCGACUUGCAAUUGAAGAGCGUCAACGUGUGGUCACCCACUUGGAGACACUCGAAGCCGAUUUUCUCGUCAAUCUAUGAGAUUAUAAUGACUUGGUUGAUCUGGGUCCUCAUGUUUGCCCGGGCUUUGAAGCCGCAGAUGUUCAUGACUGGGCCCGUAAGAAUCCCAAAGAAGCCACCGAAGUUCGUGAUCGGGCGCUUGCAGAGGAAAGGGAUGAGGAGGAGAGAGAGAAUGAAGAGGAGGAGAUUCUACAGGCGCUUGCUGACAUUGAUACAGACUUUUCUAUAGAAGAUCAAGAUAAUAAUGAUGCAGCGGGUUCUGAAGACAUUCCCCCCCUUCCUAAAAUAGAUUAAGUUCUCUACUUUUUGUUGUAACUUACAUUCCUCUGUAAUUCUUUUUUAAAUCAAUAUAUGGAAUGUUUUUU
Molecule: long non-coding RNA, 601 nt
Filed under: Zostera marina
Lineage: Eukaryota; Viridiplantae; Streptophyta; Magnoliopsida; Alismatales; Zosteraceae
Description: long non-coding RNA (ZMAR_LNC003618)
Source: RNAcentral